Sorex fumeus (smoky shrew) is the source of this 193-nucleotide small nuclear RNA. RefSeq annotates it as U2 spliceosomal RNA. Lineage: Eukaryota; Metazoa; Chordata; Mammalia; Eulipotyphla; Soricidae. The record is from RefSeq and is a predicted model, not a curated record. The transcript has a single exon.
AAUUUUCCUCGGGGUCCCAAGGGACCUUACAGUGUCUGUUAUUAUCAGUUUAAUAUCUGAUACAUCCUCUAUCUGAGGACAAUAUAUUAAAUGGAUUUUUGGAACUAGCAGUUGGAAAAGGAGCUUGCUCUAUCCACGUCUAUUCCACACAUUGACCUGAUAUUGCAGUACCUCUAGGAAUGGUGCACCAAAA